Molecule: long non-coding RNA, 1306 nt
Organism: Haplochromis burtoni (Burton's mouthbrooder)
Lineage: Eukaryota; Metazoa; Chordata; Actinopteri; Cichliformes; Cichlidae
Exons: 3
Source: RefSeq, a predicted model, not a curated record
AAGUGGCACUAAAAUUUUUUUUGAAAGAUUUUUGAGCAUCGUGUAGCACAUAACAUCAGUUCGAGGUCAGUAAGCACAAACCAAAAUUCAUACAUAAGGCGCACUGUCGAUUUUUGUGAAGAUUUAAGGAUUUUAUGUGCACCUUAUAGUGCGGUAAAUACGAUAUUACAGAAAUGGGUCUGUUAUAGGUAUGAGGGUACAAAAUAUGGGUCUAUUAUGGGUAUGUUAAAAUGUACACGGUAUGAAGGUAUGUUAUGAAUAUGCAAUAAUUAUAAGUAUGUACAGGCUGUAGUGGGUGUACAAGCUAUGAAGAGAAUAUAAAUAUGAAAACUAUACAGAAAUAUGAAAUUAAAAAAAAAGCUAUACAGAAAUAUAUUUACAUAAAUAUAGAAAAAGUACUGUUUAUAAGGUUGGGGAAACCUGUAGUCAGCAGAGUCACCUGGAUGAGUGACGAAAUGUUUCUCCCACUGAAAAUGUCCAGAUGAACAGAACCCACUUUUGGAGAUUACACCGGAGUAUUAUUGCUACAUUAAGAAAAUAAAAAAUAUUUUCGAUCGUUUUGAGAAUAAAAUUGAAAUUUUACAAUUAAAGUUGAAACGUAACAUGUUUGCUGUAAUCUCUAUGAAAUGCCUUGUUAGGAUGGGUCAGUGAAACAAAUGUAUUAACUGUAUUAUGAUAUACCACGUCCUCUUUUUUUUUCUUUGUGUGCAUCUCCUCUUCUGAAUUUGUGUUUUUCUGUCUUUUUCUUUUCAGCGUCCUUAUACUCAUCAACACACUGUGUUUAUCAGCUAAAAGAAACCAUUUCACUCACUCAGAGGGUAUAGAAGGGUCUUGAAACAACAACUGAAAUCUUGAAAUUUUGCCUUUAUUCUCGAAAUGAUUAAUAAUAUGUUUCCCUAAUACUCCUUGGAAGUAUAUUCAGUCUGUCUGCAUGUAAAAAGCAGACCGACUGAGCUGAUGAGGAAGUGAAAAAGUGCUGAAAAUAAACCUUUGUCAUCUUGUUGAAGUUGUGAAGCUCUCUCAGUGAGUUUGUGUCUGUCGUUCAGGAUGAAUGCCUUGCUGUCCAUCUGUCUCUGGCUGUCUCUGAUGAUGUUAGUCUGCUGUGGAAUCAUUGAAAAGGAAAACUUGCACCAUGAAGACAUGUAUGAAUUCUCAGCGAAUAACGACACUUCUUAUUAUAACUUAUCUUCUUAUUAUGACUACUAUUACUAUGGUAACUUCAGAGCACCUGCACAACACAGACACCUUAUCUAGUAACGCAACUGUUGCUGAGCUGUACUCACAGCAGCUUCUGUGCUUUCUUGUC